AGUGAACGCUGGCGGUAGGCCUAACACAUGCCAGUCGAACGGCAGCACAGUAAGAGCUUGCUCUUACGGGUGGCGAGUGGCGGACGGGUGAGGAAUACAUCGGAAUCUACUUUUUCGUGGGGGAUAACGUGGGGAAACUUACGCUAAUACCGCAUACGACCUACGGGUGAAAGCAAGGGAUCUUCGGACCUUUCGCGAUUGAAUGAGCCGAUUUCGGAUUAGCUAGUUGGCGGGGUAAAGGCCCACCAAGGCAACGAUCCGUAGCUGAUCUGAGAGGAUGAUCAGCCACACUGGAACUGAGACACGGUCCAGACUCCUACGGGAGGCAGCAGUGGGGAAUAUUGGACAAUGGGCGCAAGCCUGAUCCAGCCAUACCGCGUGGGUGAAGAAGGUCUUCGGGUUGUAAAGCCCUUUUGUUGGGAAAGAAAAGCAGCAGGUUAAUACCCCGCUGUUCUGACGGUACCCAAAGAAUAAGCACCGGCUAACUUCGUG
RNAcentral lists this ribosomal RNA (492 nucleotides) under uncultured bacterium. Its description in RNAcentral is "partial 16S ribosomal RNA". It matches the Rfam family "Bacterial small subunit ribosomal RNA", at positions 29 to 507 of the family's 1533-position model. The record is from RNAcentral.